GGAUGUGAGGGCAAUGUGGCUGCGACAUCUGUCACCCCGUUGAUCUCCAGGGUCGAUUCGGCUAAUCUGGCUGCCCUGGCGGGUGUCCCCUUCCUCCUCACCGCUCCGUGUGUGUCCCUCCCAAGGCUGCGCUCGGUCAGCGUGGGUGGAAGAGGACGACCACCCCCGAUAGAGGAGGACCGUUGCCUGGGUCAAGGGUGUACGAAUAGCUGCGCUCCCUGCUAGAACCUCCAAACAAGCUCUCAAGAAAACCUGCUUGGCCCAGUGUGAGUUCAGUGUUAACUCUUAAGCCAGUGGAUUGCAGCUGGGGGAAGCACGCAUAUAUGGGGGGCUGCCUUUUCCU
Non-coding RNA from Fukomys damarensis (Damara mole-rat), 343 nucleotides. The record is from Rfam. NCBI's taxonomy places the organism in Eukaryota, Metazoa, Chordata, Mammalia, Rodentia, Bathyergidae.